Molecule: ribosomal RNA, 486 nt
Filed under: uncultured bacterium
Lineage: Bacteria
Description: partial 16S ribosomal RNA
Rfam family: Bacterial small subunit ribosomal RNA
Source: RNAcentral
AUUGAACGCUGGCGGCAUGCCUUACACAUGCAAGUCGAACGGCAGCACGGGUGCUUGCACCUGGUGGCGAGUGGCGAACGGGUGAGUAAUACAUCGGAACAUGUCCUGUAGUGGGGGAUAGCCCGGCGAAAGCCGGAUUAAUACCGCAUACGAUCUACGGAUGAAAGCGGGGGACCUUCGGGCCUCGCGCUAUAGGGUUGGCCGAUGGCUGAUUAGCUAGUUGGUGGGGUAAAGGCCUACCAAGGCGACGAUCAGUAGCUGGUCUGAGAGGACGACCAGCCACACUGGGACUGAGACACGGCCCAGACUCCUACGGGAGGCAGCAGUGGGGAAUUUUGGACAAUGGGCGAAAGCCUGAUCCAGCAAUGCCGCGUGUGUGAAGAAGACCUUCGGGUUGUAAAGCACUUUUGUCCGGAAAGAAAUCCUUGGCCCUAAUACGGUCGGGGGAUGACGGUACCGGAAGAAUAAGCACCGGCUAACUACGUG